AGCAGAAGAAACUGGAACCAACAAAAGAAGACUGAUUUUUUUUUGGAUGCCAUCCUUCUCUGUUAAGGCUUACCACCACACCAACUUUCUCCAAGCCAUUGCCAUGCCACCUUGCCGCCUCAGUUGAUGAGAUCAGAGACCCACCCGACGUCGGGGCCUCCGAUUCCACCAGUGGCUGGUUCCACAGAGACGGCGCCUUCCCUGCUCAGAUGCUCGAACACCUUGGCGCGAAGGGCACGCCCGGACUCCACCCUCUGCACGGGCUCCUCCUCGCCGCCGCCGAAGGAGACAUCAAGCGGCUCCAGGUUGGCCAUGAAGCCGCCGCCCAUGGUCGUCGGGGUGGAGGGCAGGCUGUAGAGCCCAGCCGCCGUGGGCGACCCGUACGCGACGGCGGAGGACGGGUAGCCAGCCCACCCGCCGGACGGGGAGGAGUUGGCCUUGCUGAGGCGGAGCUGGCGGAGCGAGGCGAGGAC
RNAcentral lists this long non-coding RNA (473 nucleotides) under Setaria italica (foxtail millet). RNAcentral's name for it is "long non-coding RNA (SITA_LNC003588)". Lineage: Eukaryota; Viridiplantae; Streptophyta; Magnoliopsida; Poales; Poaceae. The record is from RNAcentral.